AGAGUUUGACAGGCUCAGAUUGAACGCUGGCGGCAGGCCUAACACAUGCAAGUCGAGCGGAAACGACACUAACAAUCCUUCGGGUGCGUUAAUGGGCGUCGAGCGGCGGACGGGUGAGUAAUGCCUAGGAAAUUGCCUUGAUGUGGGGGAUAACCAUUGGAAACGAUGGCUAAUACCGCAUAAUGCCUACGGGCCAAAGAGGGGGAUCUUCGGACCUCUCGCGUCAAGAUAUGCCUAGGUGGGAUUAGCUAGUUGGUGAGGUAAUGGCUCACCAAGGCGACGAUCCCUAGCUGGUCUGAGAGGAUGAUCAGCCACACUGGAACUGAGACACGGUCCAGACUCCUACGGGAGGCAGCAGUGGGGAAUAUUGCACAAUGGGCGAAAGCCUGAUGCAGCCAUGCCGCGUGUAUGAAGAAGGCCUUCGGGUUGUAAAGUACUUUCAGUUGUGAGGAAGGGGGUAACGUUAAUAGCGUUAUCUCUUGACGUUAGCAACAGAAGAAGC
Molecule: ribosomal RNA, 502 nt
Filed under: Vibrio splendidus
Lineage: Bacteria; Pseudomonadati; Pseudomonadota; Gammaproteobacteria; Vibrionales; Vibrionaceae
Description: bacterial SSU rRNA
Rfam family: Bacterial small subunit ribosomal RNA
Source: RNAcentral